Molecule: long non-coding RNA, 767 nt
Organism: Sycon ciliatum
Lineage: Eukaryota; Metazoa; Porifera; Calcarea; Leucosolenida; Sycettidae
Exons: 2
Source: RefSeq, a predicted model, not a curated record
AAAUACUAAUUGGGACAUUCUCCGAUUUCUCUUAGAGCACGGAGACGAUUGCUCCGUCGAGUCUUCUGAUCUCUAUUUUCAUCCUCAUCUUCCAGCUGCCUCACUCAUUCUCUCUCAGUUUAUCGAAGUUAAUUUAUUCUGAGGCGAUGGAAAUGCAAGACAAAUCCCUAAUUGUACUUCACUUUUAUUUGAGUUGGGGUGAACGAAAUGAGAUUUGUGGAAAAUGACGCCACUUCCCGUGUUAGCCGCUGGUCGUAUCAUACAGCCCAUAUUUCAUUGCAGGUGAUGGGCCAACGUUCGUGUUGAGAUCCGCUGAGUUUCCUCGUACUCGUGGAGUUGAAUUUGUGGCAGAAAUUGCACUGAAUUGCAGUCAAAUGGUUGUGAAUGAAACGAGAUUUGUGGAAAAUGACGCCACUUCCCGUGUUAGCCGCUGGUCGUAGCAUACAGCCCAUAUUCCAUUGCAGGUGAUGGGCGAAAGUUCUUGUGGAGAUCCGCUGAGCUUCCUCGGCGUACUCGUGGAUUUAUGAAUUUGUGUCAGAAAUUGCAGUCGAGUGGACUUCUGUGCGUGUGUUGUGAGUAAAUCGCGACGGCUCCCUUCCUUCAGCAUCGUCAAAACGCAACAUAGAGCAUUAUUACGCACUCGUUCCAUGAUUCAUGAUAAUGCCUGGAUUCUUUUAAAAACAAUCAAUGUGUGUUCCCUAUCUAUCUACAUUGUACAUGGUUGCAGGUCGUUAUUUAUAAAUCUUGAUAAUUUCAACACUUUUCUA